AUGGUGGUUGAUCAUAGCGGAAAGGGAUCAGAAGCAGAAGAUUCAAACCCUAACGCCGUUUCAUCGGAAAACAGUCCAAAGAAAACCUGCGCCGAUUGCGGAACUUCCAAAACACCUCUAUGGCGAGGCGGUCCUGCAGGUCCAAAGUCACUGUGCAAUGCUUGUGGUAUCAGGAGCAGGAAGAAGAAGAGAGCGAUCUUAGGGAUAAGCAAAGGAAACCACGAGGAUGGAAUGAGAAAGGGGAAAAAGAGUAACGGAAGCGGUGGAAGCAAGGUUGGAGAUAAUUUAAGCAUGAAGCAGAGAUUGUUGAAUUUGGGGAAAGAAGUGUUUAUGCAGAGAUCGCAUUGGAAGAAACUGGGAGAAGAAGAAAAAGCGGCGGUGCUUUUGAUGUCAUUAUCUUAUGGAUCCGUUUAUGCCUAA
Molecule: non-coding RNA, 420 nt
Organism: Vicia faba (fava bean)
Lineage: Eukaryota; Viridiplantae; Streptophyta; Magnoliopsida; Fabales; Fabaceae
Source: the annotation of a GenBank genome assembly